This 253-nucleotide ribosomal RNA is filed under the name uncultured bacterium. RNAcentral's name for it is "partial 16S ribosomal RNA". It matches the Rfam family "Bacterial small subunit ribosomal RNA", at positions 524 to 776 of the family's 1533-position model. The record is from RNAcentral.
GACGGGGGGGGCAAGCGUUGUUCGGAAUUACUGGGCGUAAAGCGUGCGUAGGCGGGUGGAUAAGUCUCCUGUGAAAGCCCACGGCUCAACCGUGGAAUUGCGGGAGAUACUGUUUGUCUUGAGUCCGGGAGGGGAGGGUGGAAUUCCCAGUGUAGCGGUGAAAUGCGUAGAUAUUGGGAGGAACACCGGUGGCGAAGGCGGCUCUCUGGGCUGGUACUGACGCUGAGGCGCGAAAGCUAGGGGAGCAAACGGG